CUCGUAGGCGGUUCGUCGCGUCCGGUGUGAAAGUCCAUCGCUUAACGGUGGAUCUGCGCCGGGUACGGGCGGGCUGGAGUGCGGUAGGGGAGACUGGAAUUCCCGGUGUAACGGUGGAAUGUGUAGAUAUCGGGAAGAACACCAAUGGCGAAGGCAGGUCUCUGGGCCGUUACUGACGCUGAGGAGCGAAAGCGUGGGUAGCGAACA
RNAcentral lists this ribosomal RNA (207 nucleotides) under uncultured bacterium. RNAcentral describes it as "partial 16S ribosomal RNA". It matches the Rfam family "Bacterial small subunit ribosomal RNA", at positions 568 to 774 of the family's 1533-position model. The record is from RNAcentral.